AUCACAGUAUGGUUACCCAGAGAUUAUUUGAUAUGGAAAUUUAAACGGCCGCAUUAGAUCUUUGAGAUCCUACAUCUGUAUAUCUCUCCAGCCCAGAUACUCUACUGUACUCGACACAAAGACCUGUACUCGACACAAAGAUCUGUACUCGACACAAAGAUCUGUAGUCGACACAAAGAUCUGUACUCGACACAAAGAUCUGUACUCGACACAAAGAUCUGUACUCGACACAAAGAUCUGUACUCGACACAAAGAUCUGUGCUCGACGCAAAGAUCUGUACUCGACACAAAGAUCUGUAGUCGACACAAGGAUCUGUACUCAACACAAAGUGUUGGUGGGGGUAACUAGGGACUAGAGGGGUGGUGGUGGAAUAUGUGAGAGAGAGGUCUGUAAAGGGUAAAGGGUAGUGGAGUCAAUCAGAGAGAAGGCUGUGUAAAGGGUAUAGGGUAGUGGUGUCUGUGUGAGAGAGGGCUGUGUUAAGGGUAAAGGGUAGUGGAGUCAAUCAGAGAGAAGGCUGUGUAAAGGGUAUAGGGUAGUGGUGUCUGUGUGAGAGAGGGCUGUGUUAAGGGUAAAGGGUAGUGGAGUCAAUCAGAGAGAAGGCUGUGUAAAGGGUAUAGGGUAGUGGUGUCUGUGUGAGAGAGGGCUGUGUUAAGGGUAAAGGGCAGUGGUGUCUGUGAGAGAGAGGGCUGUGUUAAGGGUAUAGGGUAGUGGUGUCUGUGUGAGAGAGGGCUGUGUUAAUGGUAUAGGGUAGUGGUGUCUGUGUGAGAGAGGGCUGUGUUAAGGGUAAAGGGCAGUGGUGUCUGUGAGAGAGAGGGCUGUGUUAAGGGUAUAGGGUAGUGGUGUCUGUGUGAGAGAGGGCUGUGUUAAGGGUAAAGGGCAGUGGUGUCUGUGAGAGAGAGGGCUGUGUUAAUGGUAUAGGGUAGUGGUGUCUAUCAGAGAGAGGGCUGUGUUAAGGGUAAAGGGUAGUGGUGUCUGUGAGAGAGAGGGCUGUGUUAAGGUAAAGGGUAGUGGUGUCUAUCAGAGAGGGCUGUGUUAAGGGUAAAGGGUAGUGGUGUCUAUCAGAGAGGGCUGUGUUAAGGGUAAAGGGCAGUGGUGUCUGUGAGAGGGCUGUGUUAAUGGUAUAGGGUAGUGGUGUCUAUCAGAGAGAGGGCUGUGUUAAGGGUAAAGGGUAGUGGUGUCUGUGAGAGAGAGUGCUGUGUUAAGGUAAAGGGUAGUGGUGUCUAUCAGAGAGGGCUGUGUUAAGGGUAAAGGGUAGUGGUGUCUAUCAGAGAGGGCUGUGUUAAGGGUAAAGGGUAGUGGUGUCUAUGAGAGAGGGCUGUGUUAAGGGUAAAGGGUAGUGGUGUCUAUGAGAGAGGGCUGUGUUAAGGUUAAAGGGUAGUGGUGUCUAUCAGAGAGAGGGCUGUGUUAAGGGUAAAGGGCAGUGGUGUCUGUGAGAGAGAGGGCUGUGUUAAUGGUAUAGGGUAGUGGUGUCUAUCAGAGAGAGGGCUGUGUUAAGGGUAAAGGGUAGUGGUGUCUGUGAGAGAGAGGGCUGUGUUAAGGUAAAGGGUAGUGGUGUCUAUCAGAGAGGGCUGUGUUAAGGGUAAAGGGUAGUGGUGUCUAUCAGAGAGGGCUGUGUUAAGGGUAAAGGGCAGUGGUGUCUGUGAGAGGGCUGUGUUAAUGGUAUAGGGUAGUGGUGUCUAUCAGAGAGAGGGCUGUGUUAAGGGUAAAGGGUAGUGGUGUCUGUGAGAGAGAGUGCUGUGUUAAGGUAAAGGGUAGUGGUGUCUAUCAGAGAGGGCUGUGUUAAGGUAAAGGGUAGUGGUGUCUAUCAGAGAGGGCUGUGUUAAGGGUAAAGGGUAGUGGUGUCUAUCAGAGAGGGCUGUGUUAAGGGUAAAGGGUUGUGGUGUCUAUGAGAGAGGGCUGUGUUAAGGGUAAAGGGUAGUGGUGUCUAUGAGAGAGGGCUGUGUUAAGGGUAAAGGGUAGUGGUGUCUAUGAGAGAGGGCUGUGUUAAGGUAAAG
Molecule: long non-coding RNA, 1995 nt
Filed under: Salmo salar (Atlantic salmon)
Lineage: Eukaryota; Metazoa; Chordata; Actinopteri; Salmoniformes; Salmonidae
Description: lncRNA (ENSSSAG00000115127.1)
Source: RNAcentral